Molecule: non-coding RNA, 30 nt
Filed under: Rattus norvegicus (Norway rat)
Lineage: Eukaryota; Metazoa; Chordata; Mammalia; Rodentia; Muridae
Source: RNAcentral
UGUCUUAAUCAGAGCGCUUAAACUAGUCUU